CGGUCCUCAUGACAACCGAUGUAGCGUCCGCAGAGUCGGGCGCCGCCUGUCAGAACCACACACAGCCCAUGGCCUCCUGCGACAGCCGGUACUUCGAGAAGACCGGUGCCCUCUUGGAGAAUCUUCGCCAGAAUGAGAAGAGGAGACUGGAACUCGAACGGGACCUCUGUGCCUACUACCGUAACCGAAACUGUCAGAUGAGCACUGCCAAGCUGCAGCAUUAUCUGAAGAACGUGUGUGAACGAGAGAAGCGUGCCAAGAGAAGGAACCUUGAUCUCAUGAAAGAUGUGGAGCACAUGUGUCCGCGUGGAGGGGCAUCGUCUCCAGGGCGUAGCGAUCUCCACCAAGAAAAGGUCUGCACAGUUUACUCCGACGAACCCAUUGUUUCAAAGGCCCAGAAAUCGCGGCCAUCGGAUGUCUUGCCCGGACGGCUUUGGGGAAGCGGCGCUUUGAGCGCUCCGGGAUUGCUGAGGGAGGUUGCCGAGCCGUGGGAUGCGAAUGAGAAGAAGGACGGAGCCUUGCCGUUUCUGUCGACAGCCGGCGGACCGCACGAGAGCGACGGGUCCUCCACGUCACGUUUGAUCUCUCGCUCGCCUCAGGAAACGACGGCAGCUGAUGCUAGUGGACCCAGCCUAGUAGCAAGCGGCUCACCCGAGGAAGACCGACAUCAUCCGAAAGUCUCUUCAAAUGCCAGAGUCACCAAAGAAAAUAUCACAAGGCCUCCUCAAAGACCGUCACCUCAGAACGAAUCCAAAAAUGACGCCAGCUGCACUGGAGAUGAUGAAAACAGUAAGAGCUGCAGUGUUUCUAAUCUCACUCCCAAAAAGCCCAGUAACCCCAGCAGCAAGCAUUCUCUGUCCUUGAACGAUGUUAAAGACCUCGUGGGGUUACCUGGAGGAAGUGACAUCACAGACACUCACUUUAGUGAGACGGGGCCACAUGGGACACCAGCAGAGGAAGGCCACAUGACCGCAGACGUCAAAGGUUUCAGCGGUGAUGUUUGGCGGGCUGUGUCAGUGGAGUCAGAGGUCAGAGAAGAACAUGGAUGGAGCUCGGUAGUAUCAGAAGUGACCUCCAUGGGGCUUUCAUUGGAGGGCUUUUUUCAUUUAAUGAACAGCAUUGAAGGAAGGCUUGAUCAAAGAGAAAAUGAGCUGUAUAAGAUUUCAUCAAUUAGUGAAGAAAAACUGAACAAUUUAAUAAGCCUUUGUAACGGCAAGGCUGCCUUGAAUGGAGUGGACCUUGAAGCGUGUGGAGCAGUCGUCCUUCAUCAGCUUCAGAGGUUGUCAUGGAGCGUGUCAAAAGGAUGCCUGUUACCCGAAGAGAUUGUUAGCGCUAACUGGACGAGCGCGGACGAAAAAAAAAUCAGGUCCUGUCUGCCCCCAGAUGGGUCAACUCUGUUCGAGCGGUGGCUUCAGCAUGCUCAUGCGCUGGAGAACUCUGGCCUCUUCACCACCAAUCAAAUUGUGGAACUGUUUACACCAUUACUAGUACAGAAUGAUGCUUCCUAUUUGGAAAAGGCUAAAGUGCUGGUGAAGAAAAUCUUGCCGCAAGCGUCUGACGCGAGUCUGUCUGAGAGCAAUCGGUCAUCCUGCGAUCUUCCGUCUCUCCUUGACGACAGCGAGGAAAUAAAGACACCCGGGCCUGACCAUUGGCUCAGAGACAACAGGAAACAAGGAGGACAAAGUGGUGAAGAGGACAGCAAGGAAGAAAGCUUUGUGGAAAGUAUUCCUAUUAGAGAGACGAAAGCGUAUCAGCUGCUUAAACAGUCUGUCGCGCAGCAGAGACGGCUGAGCUCUGAAGAGGAGGAUGACGAGUCGGACGUGGAUCUGUCAGUGGACAGACAAACGAAUACCUCUCGGGGGCCCCCGGUGCCCUCAAAAACAAGCCCAUCGCGAAGUCAACAAGGCCAUCGAGUUUGGCUCAGCAGAGAGCAGGAAUGAGGAUGUCUGGAGGUAUGGACUCCAACCCUGACUCGCCUCUCACAUCGACCAAUCAGAGUGCUGCUUUCUACAGCCAGCCUGGGAGUGGCAUGAUUUGUAAGAAAAACACACAUAAUCAAGAGCUAAGAAAAAUAUAGUGAAAUAUUAAAACAGACGCCAUACUGACUGAAUUCUCCUCAAUGAACCCCUUCGGGAAAGUAGUAUUCAAGGUUCCCUCAAUGCCGCAAUUUAUGACUGGACCUCUACCCUGAACCGAGCACAUCAGCCAUUGCUGUCCGGAGAGGGUGUUUACAGGCUGUCUUGGGGACCAGAGCUUUAGCAGACCUACCUAUCCCCCAUCCAUGGCUACCAGGCUAGCAAGCAAAGUUAGCAACAGUGGCUAAUUAGCCACACCAUCCAAAAGUAUCUAUGAAAUUGAGCCACAGUCGCUAAGAAAUAUGAACGUGGAUGGUGAACGCAGCUAUUGACGAUGGCUGACAAAUCCAGGAAUGCUGCUGCCCCAACAGACCACACCAUAGAAGAUGGCUGAUGCCACCACAGUUUCAUAAAAUGUCUUCAGGAGGUCCCACUGCACUCCAAAGGACCUCAGUCUUCGUAUGAGAUACAACCUGCUCUGACCUUUAUUGUAAAUAGCGUUUGUAUUAUGGAUCCAGUCCAGUUUAUUGUUCAGAUGAACACCCAGAUACUUAUUGGAGUCAACAAUCUGAAUGUCCAUCCCCUGGAUGUUCAUUGGUGUGGCUGGCGGAUGUAACAUUUUCUUUGCAGAAUCAUGUCAGUAAUGUUUGCCUCAUGAAUAUGCGACUUAGCACUUAUUCUGGUUUGAAGAUCAUGACCUUCUGUUACCAGUUUUGGAGUCUUGACCCCACACACACCUGUAAAGCUUUACAGGGUAAGAGAGUUUUCUGUGUAAUGAAAGAGGAAUCACACAUUUAGCUA
This is a non-coding RNA of Paramormyrops kingsleyae, 2876 nucleotides long. The record is from RefSeq and is a predicted model, not a curated record. Lineage: Eukaryota; Metazoa; Chordata; Actinopteri; Osteoglossiformes; Mormyridae.